UAACCGUAGCGGGCGGAGCGGCCCAAGCGUUUCAAAGUAGCGACACACGGAAAGAAGAAAUAUGAUGGCAGAGUCUACGCUAGAGCUGAAGAGGAUGAACACCUUUGGCCUCACAUACAAAGAAUGUUUCGCUUAAAAGCAGCACAAAAGAACAGCUGUGUCUGCAGUGUCGGUGUCUUCAAUGAGAGCCAAAACAAACCAACUUUUCAACGUGAAACAAAUCAGCUCGUAACCUGAUGAAACGGUCUCCACUUCAUCAGACAUCACCUAGACACAGAGCUGGAUGAGGCCAGCACAAACAGCGGCCUAUUCGAUGAAGAUGAUGGAUCCAUGGGGUCAGGAAAGCCAGAAGCAGAGGAGCUGGAGAGAUACUUUUCACUGUCCAAUCACUGGAGGUGUGGAACUAUUGCAUGGCUUUCCUCAGAUCAAGAAGCUGUCAUGCAGGACUCCUGUUCACUGCCAAACUGUCGCAGCUGAAGCUGAACCACCAUUUCACUGACUGAAGAAACAAUUUGUGGUAAAGUGAGCAAUACACAUAUGUACAUCCACAUAGUGGAAAUUUGUAUUUGUCUUUUAUAAUUAGUUUUACUCUGAUUUCAGUGUUUAUUUGUGAGUGUAGUUUUUACAUUUUUACAUAUUACAUUGUGUUAAUCCACUGUCUAUACUUCAGGGUAUUUUAGUAUACAAAAUAAGUUUUGUUAGAAUGCCUAUUCAUGUGGAAUUUUAGCACAGAUGUUUUUUUUUGUUGUUGUUUUUUUUUAAUUCCUGCUGUCCGCCUUGGGGAUAAACUUUUCCUGAUUAUA
Molecule: long non-coding RNA, 803 nt
Organism: Oreochromis aureus
Lineage: Eukaryota; Metazoa; Chordata; Actinopteri; Cichliformes; Cichlidae
Exons: 2
Source: RefSeq, a predicted model, not a curated record